GCCGGGGCUGUCGCUAACUUUGUGCACGCCCUGGUGCUCUCUCACAAUCCAUCUCACCCCCUUUGUGCAUCACCGCGUGGGUGCUCUCCUUUUGGUUUGUUCCGAAAGGGGGCAUUUGCGUUUUUAUACAAAACCACUGCAUGUGUAGAAUGUCUUACUAUUUGCGAUAAUGGGCAAUUAAUACAACUUUCAACAACGGAUCUCUUGGCUCUCGCAUCGAUGAAGAACGCAGCGAAAUGCGAUACGUAAUGUGAAUUGCAGAAUUCAGUGAAUCAUCGAAUCUUUGAACGCACCUUGCGCCCCUUGGAAUUCCGAGGGGCACACCCGUUUGAGUGUCGUGAACAUCCUUCAACCUUUCUUGGUUUCUUGACCGAGGAAGGCUUGGACUUUGGGGGUCUUUCAUUGCUGGCCUCUUUGAAGCCAGCUCCUCCUAAAUGGAUUAGUGUGGUCUGCUUUGCCGAUCCUUGACGUGAUAAGAUGUUUCUACGUCUUGGGUUUUGCACUGUCGCUUUAGACCCCGCUUCUAACUGUCU
Molecule: ribosomal RNA, 533 nt
Filed under: Russula cyanoxantha
Lineage: Eukaryota; Fungi; Basidiomycota; Agaricomycetes; Russulales; Russulaceae
Description: eukaryotic LSU rRNA
Rfam family: 5.8S ribosomal RNA (bases 185-338)
Source: RNAcentral